CAUCUUCCCUAAGCAUAGACUAUCUUAUAUUUACUUAGUGAUCAUGAAGAACAGUUGUACGAACAUCAUACUUAAAAUCACAGAAAUUAAAUAUGAUUCAAAAGAAGAUAUCCAUUAAAAAUAAUAAGUUCAUACAACCCCAAGAAUAUAAAAUAAAAUAUAAAACCCGUGUCCCUUUGUUAGGGCUGCAUCCAGCCCUGGUGAGGAGAUCAGCCUUCCAUGGAGUGGUGGAUGGCAGCAGCAGCAAAGCAGUGGGCUCCCAUUCCUUCCUUCUCUUUCUCCUUUGAAAUAUUCCCAAAUAGCCAAACUCCUCUCUCUCCUUUGUUUCCCGUGGGACUCUGCCUCCCAAGAGCUUAGUUGAUGGGAGAAGCCCACCUGGGGAAGAAGAAUGAAUGGAACCGAAGAGAAGCCUGAUGGAUUCAGAGAAGAGCUGGGAUCAGUCCCCUCAAUGGGGAAGAAGGAAUGCCUUUCUCUGUUCCAUUCCUGGGCUUUUUAUAGGCUUCAUACUUCCUCUUUCCUCCCUGUUCCGAAUGAAGGAUAAAGGUGAAAAGAAGCGGGAUAAGGCAGAUGACUUCAGCCCCUUGAUCCUUGGACGCGGUAGGAGUCUUGCGGAUGAGGAUUUGAGUCUAUCCGUGAUUGGGAUUUGGUGCUGAUCUCGUGGAUAAUGGGAGGCUGGGACGGGCUCUGUUUGUUGGACACAGGGGAUCCGGAUGAAUCAAUUGCUGAAUGCAGGGAAUAUUGUUUGUGGACGUGAUCCGUGGGAGGAUAAACUAGCGAAAAAUGGCUGAGAUGAAGACACGUGAAACAGGGGAUGAUUCAUGGGAUUCGGCAGCUCGGGCGUUGGGAGUGAAUGUGCUGGAAGCUUGAUCUGCAUCGCGGGAUGGCUCGCGGAUGAGGUUGAGAUUAAUCCGGGAGUUUGGAUGAAGCUCACGGUUGGGAACGGAUGUUAAGUGAUCCGGAACAGGGGAGAAUAAGCUUAGAUGCCGUGUUUGCUGGUCCGUGAGGCUCGGGAGGAUGGAGUUGCAUUAUGGGUUGAAUGCGGUUGAUGGAAUGAAGAUGGAUGCUAAACGAAAUGAAGGGGAGAUGAGCUGAGGCUUUGAACGCGGAAGGGAUGAAGCUGGGACGGCUUUGGGAUAAAGAUGGAUUACGAACGGGAUGUAUGUGAUAAGGAUGUAAUCCGAGAUGCAGGGGAAGUUGGACUUGGCUGAAGGCUCGGGAACGGCUGGGAGGAAGAUCGGAUCCGCGGAGGAGAUGAGGUUGAAAAGCUUGGACCUUAUCCGUGGGUGAUAAUCGGAAGAAUAUUUGAUGGCUGGGACGUUGUGGAUGUUGGCGGGAAUGAAGGGAACGUGGGAUGAAGAGAAGUUGAGAGAGAGAUGUUGGGAAGAUGAACUCGUGAUGAAGAUACGACGGGGAGGAUGGAGCUUUGGGAUUCGUGCAAAUAUGAUGAUAUGCUUUGAG
RNAcentral lists this long non-coding RNA (1458 nucleotides) under Phoenix dactylifera (date palm). Its description in RNAcentral is "long non-coding RNA (PDAC_LNC012345)". Lineage: Eukaryota; Viridiplantae; Streptophyta; Magnoliopsida; Arecales; Arecaceae. The record is from RNAcentral.